GUUUUUAAGCAUUAUCAAGUGUGUCCAAAGCGUUCAAAUUUGUUUUCAUAGAUUCAGUAACUUUUUGGAUUAAUUUGAUUGGUUUAUAUGAAAUUUAUUAUGUAAUUGAAACUGCAAUACACUGGUCAUAUACAAGCUUUCAAGCAAAGAUAGCUGAAGCUUAUUAAAGAUUAUUUCUGCUCAUGGGGGACAGAAAUGCCCAGGUGUACUGAGUAUGGCAUACGUGCUUUGCAUCUCCCAGCUAUCAAGUUAGUAACUCUUGUUUGGAAUUGAGAUGGUCAUUUAAUCCUUUCACAGACGUAGCUUGGUGUGACAUAGUUAAGUGGACAAAGAUAGGAGAGCAACUCCUGUUCUGUGGUGUCCCCAGUACGGUGCAUUAACUCUCUAUACCAGUCAGAGCCAAAAAAUUUCCUGAUGAACGUAACUUUUGUUUUGAAACCCAGACUGUAUUAGCUCAGAGGAAAAUAGGAGUAGUCACAUUAUACUUUCCUUAAACUGAAAUGCACGUGAUAUGAUUCUAGACUGUUCAUACUGGCAACCCUUGGUCAUUCCUGUUUAAAAUGUGUUGCCUGGAACAGUUUGCUUUGAUGGGUGCAGCAUAUGGUCCCUUUCACAUGCUUUCCCUGAUCCCAUGUCAUUCCUAUGCCAGGUGAACUGGUCCUUCAUCUUAUGCCUAUAAAUUUUGUUCAUAACCAGUAAUGCUAAUCACAUAGUUACUCAUCUCUUCCUGUGAUGUGGGUUCAGAUCUGUAUGUGUAAUCAGUUAUGUUUUAUGUUUUGCUGGGUCUGCCAUGAUAUCACAGAUGUAUGGAUGGCUGAAAAAACCAGAAAUUUACUUUCUUACAGUUCAGGAGGCCAGACAGCAAAGAUCAAGCUGUUGGCAGAUUGGUUACUUCUGUGGCACCUCUCCUUGGCAUGUAGAUAUCUGACCUUUGGCUGUGUUUUCACAAGGUCAUCUACUGCCCAUAGUUCUUCAUUUUUGUAUAUGAAGAAUAGUAGGAAGAUUGCUACCGCUCCAGGAAAUAAAAUAAGAAAAAAAAAGUUUCUCAGUCCCGUUUGCUGA
Molecule: long non-coding RNA, 1062 nt
Filed under: Bos indicus x Bos taurus (hybrid cattle)
Lineage: Eukaryota; Metazoa; Chordata; Mammalia; Artiodactyla; Bovidae
Description: lncRNA (ENSBIXG00000020080.1)
Source: RNAcentral